AAAGUCGUAACAAGGUUUCCGUAGGUGAACCUGCGGAAGGAUCAUUACAAUAUAACAAGGGUGGCGGCUUCGGCCAAAGCCCAUGUGCACGCAAGUGUACCCUUUGUGAACCUCCUGGUUUCUUUGGCGAUGUCAAAUUGACUCGUCAAAAAUUAACUCUGAUAAUCUGAUAAAGUCUGAGUUUUAUUCAAUAAAUAAAAACUUUCAACAACGGAUCUCUUGGUUCCA
RNAcentral lists this unclassified non-coding RNA (228 nucleotides) under Ascomycota sp. RNAcentral's name for it is "partial contains small subunit ribosomal RNA, internal transcribed spacer 1, and 5.8S ribosomal RNA". The stretch from base 1 to 47 matches the Rfam family "Eukaryotic small subunit ribosomal RNA", at positions 1785 to 1831 of the family's 1831-position model. The record is from RNAcentral. Lineage: Eukaryota; Fungi; Ascomycota.